This 253-nucleotide ribosomal RNA is filed under the name uncultured bacterium. RNAcentral's name for it is "partial 16S ribosomal RNA". It matches the Rfam family "Bacterial small subunit ribosomal RNA", at positions 524 to 776 of the family's 1533-position model. The record is from RNAcentral.
UACGUAGGGGGCAAGCGUUGUCCGGAAUUAUUGGGCGUAAAGCGUGCGCAGGCGGUUUUGCAAGACCGAUGUGAAAUCCCCGGGCUUAACCUGGGAAUGGCAUUGGUGACUGCACGGCUAGAGUGUGUCAGAGGGGGGUAGAAUUCCACGUGUAGCAGUGAAAUGCGUAGAGAUGUGGAGGAAUACCGAUGGCGAAGGCAGCCCCCUGGGAUAACACUGACGCUCAUGCACGAAAGCGUGGGGAGCAAACAGG